AUGAACGCUGGCGGCGUGCCUAAUACAUGCAAGUCGAGCGAACAGACGAGGAGCUUGCUCCUCUGACGUUAGCGGCGGACGGGUGAGUAACACGUGGAUAACCUACCUAUAAGCCUGGGAUAACUUCGGGAAACCGGAGCUAAUACCGGAUAAUAUAUUGAACCGCAUGGUUCAAUAGUGAAAGACGGUUUUGCUGUCACUUAUAGAUGGAUCCGCGCCGCAUUAGCUAGUUGGUAAGGUAACGGCUUACCAAGGCAACGAUGCGUAGCCGACCUGAGAGGGUGAUCGGCCACACUGGAACUGAGACACGGUCCAGACUCCGACGGGAGGCAGCAGUAGGGAAUAUUCCGCAAUGGGCGAAAGCCUGACGGAGCAACGCCGCGUGAGUGAUGAAGGUCUUCGGAUCGUAAAACUCUGUUAUUAGGGAAGAACAAAUGUGUAAGUAACUAUGCACGUAUUGACGGUACCUAAUCAGAAAGCCACGGCUAACUACGUG
This 496-nucleotide ribosomal RNA is filed under the name uncultured bacterium. RNAcentral's name for it is "partial 16S ribosomal RNA". It matches the Rfam family "Bacterial small subunit ribosomal RNA", at positions 29 to 507 of the family's 1533-position model. The record is from RNAcentral.